RNAcentral lists this long non-coding RNA (1199 nucleotides) under Citrus maxima (pomelo). RNAcentral's name for it is "long non-coding RNA (CMAX_LNC000540)". The record is from RNAcentral. Lineage: Eukaryota; Viridiplantae; Streptophyta; Magnoliopsida; Sapindales; Rutaceae.
UUCAGAAUUACCACAAGCAAGAGUACUGCUGUGAAUGGUCACGUCUUGCGAGUUCUGUAGGUGGAUCCCAUCGGUGUUGGGGCUGUCACCCGGAGAUGAAGCAGUGAAGUCCGAAACCUGUACAGCAGUGCAAUCGUCAAAUUUGAGGUGAGUUUGCUGGCUGUUUUGAAUUGUUAUGCCGGCAACUGUAACGCCACUGCUACCAUAGAACCUCAGCGCCUGCAAACAUAUUAAAAGAUUUAACCAGGAAUGAUUGGUUUGGACUAACAUUGCUAGAAUCUGAAAAUGAACUGUUAUUGACAAGAUAAUCACCGUUGGCUUGGUCCCCGGCAUAUUUCCUUUUAGCGCACUGCUUGCAGAAUCAUCUGCAGUACCGUAAGAGGAGGGCGCGUCGUGCCACCAGACGGAGCCUUGUCCGUCGAUUAUGCCCUUACCUGUCAGUGUAAGCCCUUUAAGCUUCGAGAACUCAAGCCACUGUAAAAUACCUGAUCCCCAAGCUCCAGAAUUUGUAGGAGCUAUGAUCUUUCCAUCCAACUGAAUGAAAUUUCAUGACAUUCAUUAAUUCGCUCUAGCGGACGAAAAUAAUUAUAGCAUGAGUUUGUUAGCUUAAUGGAGCAAAUUAAUUAAUAAUUAAUUACCUGAAAUAAAAUGUUUGGUUGACAGGUAGGGCCCGAGAAGGAAAUGGGUCCCACAAGGAAUACGGAACCAGAUGGAACCACCAUGGUUGCUCCCUCUAUCUUACAAGCCGCUACCCAUGCUGCUUCAAAUGCCUGCAUAAUUAUGUCAAAUUACCUUAAUGGACCGGAAGUUUAAGUCGGGUUCAUGAAAUAAUUAAGCUGCAACAACGUGCUAUAAUUAGGUAUCUAAAUGUAAUUGACACUUAGCUUGUUAUUUCACCUUGAUUAGUUUACUAAUAUUACUGUAUUAGUAUGAUUUGAUGGGACCGCCAAGAUAUUUUCUUAUACAAGUGUCAUUGUCAUUGACUGCUCCGCACGGUCACAUGCAUGAGGCUCCUCAAUAAUAUAACAUGAUCACUUCUAAACAAUAAGAGCAGCUUAUUGCCUUAUUCUCUCUUCUUAUAUAUGCCGGCUGUUAUAAUAAACGUCGCCGGAAUUCAUGUUAAGGUCCGGACGUUCGGAUUUUGUAAAAUCCGGAUUUGUACUAGAAUAUCGCUGUGUAAUCAAUUAACUAGAAAAUUA